RNAcentral lists this long non-coding RNA (684 nucleotides) under Felis catus (domestic cat). Its description in RNAcentral is "lncRNA (ENSFCAG00000044764.2)". Lineage: Eukaryota; Metazoa; Chordata; Mammalia; Carnivora; Felidae. The record is from RNAcentral.
AUGGCAGAAUGGCUUCCACAGCUCAAGCUUGCCUCGCGCUCCUCCCCGUGGUCCUGGCCUGAGCGCCAGGUGCUGUGCUGUGUGCCCCACACCCAGUCCUGCUCCCUGAUGCCCGCGCAGGGCCCCCGCCAGCAGCAGGAGGCACGUGAGCUGCUCUGUUGUGCUCCCCCGGCGGGCAGGGCCUCCCAGAGGGGAUGCCGGGGGAAGUCAUGGCUCAGAGUGGCCCGUGGGGGAGAGGCAGGAAGGGGACUGACACCCCCCCCCCCGGUUCUUCCCAUCUCCCGUCUUCCCUUGGACCGAACUCCCUGCAUUGUGGUUUCAUCUUUUCCCCAGGCUGCCAAACGCAGGUCACUGCAGGAAAGCGUUCUACCGGGGCUGGAGGAGGCUGGAGAGGCUGGAGGCCCAGCGACCACGGCUGUUUGCUGUCCCCAGCUGUUCCCGGCCGUCCCCGGCUGUCCCUGGCCCCCAGAGGUCACAACAAGGCUGAAUUUGGCCUCUGCCCUCCCUGGGUGGGCGGGCCUCACAACCCCAGGUCCGCAGGAAGUGUCCGUUCAAAUCUUGCAGCUACUUGGAAUUUUUAAAGUGCAUUGCACACACACUUCCUGUGACGUUUCCAGGACCCUUGGGGAAGGUCGGACUGCAGUUGGCGUUUCCGUGGUGAGUGGGGAGACCCAGCAGGUGUAA